CCUCCAGAUUGCGUCUUGAUCCCUAGCACUGAGAAGAUGACCAAUAAAGGCAUGAGUGAACUCAUAAAUAAAUAGUGUUCUGAGUAAAUUAAUUAAUGACAAUAGAGAUGUCCAGAAUGGGAAUGAAACUGUAGCCUAGUUUAAUUAGAGCAGGGAAUUAGACAUCUUCACCUUCACAGGAGCAACUUGAAGGCAGGUGUGCAUGCUUUUAGGUGUUAUCUGGAACAGCUGUUUCACUGGGGACCCAGCGCAAAAGGAUGGGCCUUGUGGAGAUUGGAUUGCUUUAAAGCUCUUUCUUCCUCCCAGGAUCCACUUUUCCACUCCACGCUCUCCCACUAUUCACCCAGCACUAUCCUGUGGGAGGGAGUCGAAGUUGGAGCAUUCUUGCUCACUACGGGUGUCCCUGUGCCCAUUUUAUGUGUGGAAACUGGAAACUCUGAGGAGUUAGCCUCUCCAUAUUUCCAGAAUUAACAAGCCAUGGAGAUGAGGUUCAAACAGAGCUUCAAACAGCAAGCACGCAUAAGAUCCCAGAGUAGUCCCCCGAUUUCCAAUGCAGGAGGUUGCUUGGUGGCAGAGCUCUGCAAGUGUCCAACAGCAGGCAUUCCAUGGAGCCGUGCACUGGUGUGGAGUGCCAGCGUCUGAUAAAGAAAACGAAGAUACUCUAACGAAGCAGGAAAAGUUCCUGGAUGUGGCAGAUCCAUCUCAAGGCUUUGGAUAAAAGACUGAAGCAGGAGUAAUUGGAUACCAGAACAUUAUAUAUAUAUUUUUUGCAUUAAUCCUUUUGCUUUUUGCUUACCCUUUUCUUCCCAUGGCACUGAAGUGGAAUAUCCCAAGUGCCACCGAACUCAGAGAACUCCACGCCGGAAUGGGGGUGAGGCUGGCGUUCUACCUCUGGCAUAGGAUAAGGAUGGCAGGCACGUAAUAUUACGAAAUGUAGGACAAAUUCAAGCGAAAGAGAGGGAGAGGGAGAGAGAGGGGGAGAGCCAGAGACAGAUGGCGGAUCUGGCUAGGAGCCAAAGCCAGUGAAAUGAAUUACAUUGCUGAAUAACUGUAUACCAUUGAUUCUGCCACUUGUUGCUGCAUGGCAAAAAAAAAAAAAAAAAAAGGAAAAAAAAGAAAAGCCCCAGUGUAUGCUGGAAUCUCCUUAUUUGUCAUGUGCGCAGCAGACAACUUUCACACACAACUCAAUCCUGACAAUGAUACGCUCUGGGUGUCUUGAGUGGGUGUGGAGGUGCAUGAGAAGGUUGUGUGCAUGUAUGUGUGGCCGAGAAAGCAAAUGUGGGUGUGUGUGCUUAUGCAUGUGGGAGAAAGGAAAAACAAUCCUUGCAAUCCGGCCAUUUUUGUUUAAUGAAGAAUGGAAGACUGGCAUUCAGAGAUGUGGUUACGUGCCGCAUAUUAAUGCGUGCUCACCACUCAUCCUCCCCCACUUUAAAAAUGAGUGGCACAGGAGUGAAGCUCUCUACAGAUCAACCACGUGGGAGAAGCAACUCAUGAGGUGGCAUCCUGUUACAGGAACAUCUUUCACAAAUUAUGAGUGAAGAUCAGCCUGACCGCUUAGUGCUGUUGGCCACAUGCAUUGGGAGAGUGUCCCCAUGAGACGUAUACACCAUCUAUGAACGUGGAAGAACAAAAUUCUGCCUUCUUUUGAAGACUUCUGAAUAGUAACUUCCAUUAAAGAAGAGAUAUGUCUUACUU
This 1695-nucleotide long non-coding RNA is filed under the name Equus asinus (donkey). RNAcentral describes it as "lncRNA (ENSEASG00005033346.1)". Lineage: Eukaryota; Metazoa; Chordata; Mammalia; Perissodactyla; Equidae. The record is from RNAcentral.